UACGGGGGGGGCAAGCGUUGUUCGGAGUUACUGGGCGUAAAGAGUGCGUAGGCGGUUUUCUAAGUUUGGUGUGAAAUCUCCCGGCUCAACUGGGAGGGUGCGCCGAAGACUGGAAGGCUUGAGUAUGGGAGAGGUAAGCGGAAUUCCUGGUGUAGCGGUGAAAUGCGUAGAUAUCAGGAGGAACACCGGUGGCGAAGGCGGUUCUCUGGGCAUUACCUGACGCUGAGGAGCGAAAGUGUGGGGAGCGAACAGG
RNAcentral lists this ribosomal RNA (253 nucleotides) under uncultured bacterium. RNAcentral's name for it is "partial 16S ribosomal RNA". It matches the Rfam family "Bacterial small subunit ribosomal RNA", at positions 524 to 776 of the family's 1533-position model. The record is from RNAcentral.